CAGUUCCCUGGUGAUGACGGUCAUCAGGGUUCCUCUCAUUGGGCUGUCCCCACCCACGGCCCUCCCAUCAAGCGCCAUCAAGCAAAGCUCAUCUUAGGUACACCCCAGGGACAACCUCUCCCCUGCCUCCCUGCCACUCGCCCAGCGGAGCUCUGAUGCAGGGAAGCAAACCACCACCGGGUCCUCGUCUGGGAGGUUCCGGUGGCUCCCCGCCCCUUGCACGCUGACCUUCCAAGGCUCUGAUGUCCUACUCUCUGGAUGCUGACGGUGAAUUACUAUUGCAAUAAACCAGCUGCUUCCCAGCGAUCGCAACAUUGGAGCCCUGGCCGCGUUCUCAGACACUCACGGGCACACGCAUGAAAACUCUGCAGUGUGUGCCAAGGAUCCUUCCAGUGGCCGGACAAACAAGGCUUGGAGAGCUCGUGCCCACGCAGAUGAGGGGACCCGAUCCUUACGAUGCAGGGUGACGGAUGCCCCUGGCGGACCACAAAGGAGCGGACCGUCACGCUACCCUCAGCCCGCAUCCUGCCAGCUGUGGGACACUGAGCAACUCACCGCACCUCUCUGAUCCUCAGCGGCCUCAUCUGUGAAAUGGGUACAGCAACUUCGCUCUCCUGCACUGUUGUGGUUGUAAAUUGAAAUCAUCGAAGCGACAGCUCUGCAGGAAAUGUCGAUUCAUCCACUCUCGGCCUCUCUACCACACUGGGCGGAAGAGAAGGUGCACGGUGAUGGGAAGAAGUUGAAUCAAAGAAAGAGCGAUAACUUCGUUUGUUUUUCCCUUUAGAAGGAAAGCAGGCGUUCUUAUUAAACAGGUUGUGGGGUGCCUGAGUGGCUCAGUCCGUUAAGCAUCUGACUUCAGCUCAGGUCACGAUCUCUUGGUUUGCGAGUUCGAGCCCCGCCUCGGGCUCUGUGCUGUCAGCUCGGAGCCUGGAGCCUGCUUCGGAUUCUGUGUCUCCCCCCUCUCUCUUCCCCUCCCCCCCUCGCUCUCAGUCUCUCUCUUUCUCUCUCAAAAAUAAAUAAACAUAAAAAAAUAUUUAAAAACCA
Molecule: long non-coding RNA, 1044 nt
Filed under: Felis catus (domestic cat)
Lineage: Eukaryota; Metazoa; Chordata; Mammalia; Carnivora; Felidae
Description: lncRNA (ENSFCAG00000050133.1)
Rfam family: tRNA (bases 823-907)
Source: RNAcentral